CAUAGGCUACUCCCUUCAUUUAUCACCCAGCCAUUGGGAUUCUCGAGCUCGGAUUGCCCCCCAUGGCCGACAUAUCGCCCUCAGGACACCGCCUAAAUCCUCUCAACCCCAAGCUACUCCUCCCUGCUUGCCAGCGUGACGCCUUCCCCUCGUCGCCCGGAAGCUCCCUUCGCUGCAGUUCCAGCUCCAGGCGUCGAGCGCAUGCAGCAAAGGAUGGCCCACGGCCACCUCUGCUGCCAGCGAGGCCAUCGCUGUUGCGCCUCUCCCCGGCGGGAAAAAGACACCAGGGCGGAUGCGGCUCACCUCAUUGAGCAUUCAGGUGGCUAGCUUGCGUGAAACAAUGGUCGGUGGCCCCUGCAGUCACCGCCGAAGCCUCCCCUGCUCCUGCUCUAUUGAAUAGGAGGAGGUAGAAGAAGCUGCCAGGUGGGUCCCGCUGGUCGGACAAUGAACCGGGGCCGAGCCACUACCAGGCAGGCCCCACCUGUAAGCCGCAGAUCGACCGAGCCCGACACUUAACUAGAAGUGCCCCACACUGGUUCCACGAUCCCGCGGUGAAGGCGUAACUCAGGAGGUACACUUUUGAUGUCACUGAGGGCCGGCGCGACUGGGCUGGCCCACUCCCUCUCGAGCGCCCUUGGGUCGUUAUAGCCCCCCUUGUAUAAACC
RNAcentral lists this long non-coding RNA (665 nucleotides) under Hordeum vulgare. RNAcentral's name for it is "long non-coding RNA (HVUL_LNC012150)". Lineage: Eukaryota; Viridiplantae; Streptophyta; Magnoliopsida; Poales; Poaceae. The record is from RNAcentral.